GAUGAACGCUGGCGGCGUGCCUAAUACAUGCAAGUCGAGCGAACAGACGAGAGUGCUUGCACUCUCUGACGUUAGCGGCGGACGGGUGAGUAACACGUGGGUAACCUACCUAUAAGACUGGGAUAACUUCGGGAAACCGGAGCUAAUACCGGAUAAUAUUUAGCUUCGCAUGAAGCAAUAGUGAAAGACGGUUCUGCUGUCACUUAUAGAUGGACCCGCGGUGUAUUAGCUAGUUGGUGAGGUAACGGCUCACCAAGACAACGAUACAUAGCCGACCUGAGAGGGUGAUCGGCCACACUGGGACUGAGACACGGCCCAGACUCCUACGGGAGGCAGCAGUAGGGAAUCUUCCGCAAUGGACGAAAGUCUGACGGAGCAAUGCCGCGUGAGUGAAGAAGGUUUUCGGAUCGUAAAACUCUGUUGUAAGGGAAGAACAAGUACGUUAGUAACUGAACGUACCUUGACGGUACCUUACCAGAAAGCCACGGCUAACUACGUG
RNAcentral lists this ribosomal RNA (499 nucleotides) under uncultured bacterium. RNAcentral describes it as "partial 16S ribosomal RNA". It matches the Rfam family "Bacterial small subunit ribosomal RNA", at positions 28 to 507 of the family's 1533-position model. The record is from RNAcentral.